Long non-coding RNA from Aethina tumida (small hive beetle), 720 nucleotides. RefSeq lists it as uncharacterized. The record is from RefSeq and is a predicted model, not a curated record. The transcript has 2 exons. Lineage: Eukaryota; Metazoa; Arthropoda; Insecta; Coleoptera; Nitidulidae.
UUGCGUUUGUUUACGUUGAUGAUGUGUUGUGCCCUCUCGACCCAUUCAAGAAUGUCUUAAGAACUUAAGAAAGGACAUUGACGCCCUUAAAUAUACAAAAGUGUAACUUUUUCCAAACAUCUGUGAAAUAUUUAGGUGUGAUCGAAAAAGGACUGGCUGUAUAUUUUAGACAUCUUGUGAAAAACUUUGCAACUUUAACAGCACCGAUAUCUGCACUGUUACGUGAGGAAAAUCUUUUGAAUGGACAUAAGCAAGUUCGUUAGGAUUAGAUGUCGCUAUUAGCUGUCGAAUAGAGGAAAGUUGAAACCAAAGUAUCACGGACCCUUUGAGGUAACGCAUUGUUUACCUAAUGAGAGGUACGCACUCCGAAGGAUUGGCAGCCGAGGUAGAACUACAAUAGCAGCGCAUGAACAGUUACGAACCUGGCCAGAUACAGAAAUUCUAUAAGAUUACCGGUGUCAGGUGAAUCUUUGCAAAACUGUGGAAGGUGCGAGGACGCCCCACAUGUCAGGAAGGCCGUGUUAGCUUACGUCAUCACCUUCACCGAUGGACCGAUGCGACGUGCUCACAUCUAUUUAGACUAGUUUUGUUUCAUAAGCAAAUCUGAAGUAUUUGUUUACAUUUAAUAAUCGGGGCAGUUCUUAAGAAAGAACCGAGCAGUCAAGCUUUAGAUGUCGAGGGUUAAACUACGUUUGUUGUAAUAAAGCGUAUUAUUGUGAA